CAAGAUAGUGAGGUCCUAGAGACCUUACGAAUCUACGGUUGGGCAAACCUUAAGAUUUUUGUCACUUCAUUUUCGCUGUUAGAAGCACAUUUGCUUUCUUGACAGAAUAUAGACUAAUCAAGUAAAUCAAAAACAUUUAGAUGUUUUUGAAUUGCGAAAAGCUGAUUAAAAUAUUAUAGCGAGUAACAUUCGAUAACCUAUCGAAUGUACUACAAAAAAACUGAUUUUAAACAGCGCUUGAGAAGGGGAUAUUCAACCGCAGUCAAUUCGUGAAUUUCACGAGCUGACAGUCGGUUGAGUAUCUCAGUAUACAAGACCAAUUUUAGGCAAGCUGUCCUUCGGGACAGUUUAAUGUACACUUAUUAGAUCA
This 370-nucleotide unclassified non-coding RNA is filed under the name Candidatus Syngnamydia salmonis. RNAcentral describes it as "16S-23S ribosomal RNA intergenic spacer". Lineage: Bacteria; Pseudomonadati; Chlamydiota; Chlamydiia; Parachlamydiales; Simkaniaceae. The record is from RNAcentral.